Molecule: long non-coding RNA, 675 nt
Organism: Gastrolobium bilobum
Lineage: Eukaryota; Viridiplantae; Streptophyta; Magnoliopsida; Fabales; Fabaceae
Exons: 3
Source: RefSeq, a predicted model, not a curated record
CGAAGUGCAGACCUAGGACCGAGACUCCAUGGUUGAGUGCUCCAAGCUUGCAUCUUGCCAUACACUUACUUUUAGACUUAGCUUCCUUCACCAAAAAUAAUCCUUGCGCCUUUAGGAACUUAACCUUGGUUUUUGUUCAUCCAAAGAAGCUAUAUUUUGUAAGAUUUCUUCACUAAUCAGCCACUAUUACUAUUUAUCUUCUUGGAGUUAUGAUGGCUGUUUGGAUGGUUUAAAGUAUGGAGAAUCAUCUUUAGGUGAUUUAGAACCCAUUGGAGGUUGGAGACAAGAGACCUAAUGCUUGGAAGUCAGAUUUUGGGAAGUUUUGGAUAAAUUUUUUGAAGUGCAAGUAAGCUUGGUUCGAGAACUUCAAGAUGAAGUGAACUCAUGAGUGGAGACUACUUCAUAAACCCAGAGUUUACUGAGAUUGUUAAUCUCACCCCGUUUGGGGAUAUAUUUCAGGUACUCCAGCAGUAGGAGAGCCCUCACAGGGCAAGAUGCCUGUAUAAGGUUGUUAGAAGACCAGCUGAAGUAGACUUUUUACGAUAUUUUGGAUAACUGUAUCGAUAUUUUGUAGCAUGACAUAUGAUCAUGCAUAUGUAUAGUCUUAUGUUUGUAUCUGUGAGAUAUAUUGUAUACAUUUAUCUAUUUCUAAUUCUGGCAUGUAUAAGUAUGUUU